AUCACCUGGGGAUCUUGUUAAAAUGUAGAUUCUAAGUCUAGGUCCAGAAUCCACAUUCUAACAAGCUCCCAAGU
Molecule: microRNA precursor, 74 nt
Filed under: Ovis aries (sheep)
Lineage: Eukaryota; Metazoa; Chordata; Mammalia; Artiodactyla; Bovidae
Description: miRNA (ENSOARG00000022698.1)
Source: RNAcentral